Molecule: ribosomal RNA, 497 nt
Filed under: uncultured bacterium
Lineage: Bacteria
Description: partial 16S ribosomal RNA
Rfam family: Bacterial small subunit ribosomal RNA
Source: RNAcentral
GAUGAACGCUGGCGGCGUGCCUAAUACAUGCGGGUCGAGCGAACAGACGAGGAGCUUGCUCCUCUGACGUUAGCGGCGGACGGGUGAGUAACACGUGGAUAACCUACCUAUAAGACUGGGAUAACUUCGGGAAACCGGAGCUAAUACCGGAUAAUAUAUUGAACCGCAUGGUUCAAUAGUGAAAGACGGUUUUGCUGUCACUUAUAGAUGGAUCCGCGCCGCAUUAGCUAGUUGGUAAGGUAACGGCUUACCAAGGCAACGAUGCGUAGCCGACCUGAGAGGGUGAUCGGCCACACUGGAACUGAGACACGGUCCAGACUCCUACGGGAGGCAGCAGUAGGGAAUCUUCCGCAAUGGGCGAAAGCCUGACGGAGCAACGCCGCGUGAGUGAUGAAGGUCUUCGGAUCGUAAAACUCUGUUAUUAGGGAAGAACAAAUGUGUAAGUAACUAUGCACGUCUUGACGGUACCUAAUCAGAAAGCCACGGCUAACUACGUG